GACGAACCGUGCGAACGUUGUUCGGAAUCACUGGGCUUAAAGGGCGCGUAGGCGGGCUCGCCAGUCAGGGGUGAAAUCCCACGGCUCAACCGUGGCAGUGCCUUUGAUACUGCGGGCCUGGAGGGAGGUAGGGGCGUGCGGAACUUCCGGUGGAGCGGUGAAAUGCGUAGAUAUCGGAAGGAACACCGGUGGCGAAAGCGGCGCGCUGGACCUCUUCUGACGCUGAGGCGCGAAAGCCAGGGGAGCAAACGGG
RNAcentral lists this ribosomal RNA (253 nucleotides) under uncultured bacterium. Its description in RNAcentral is "partial 16S ribosomal RNA". It matches the Rfam family "Bacterial small subunit ribosomal RNA", at positions 524 to 776 of the family's 1533-position model. The record is from RNAcentral.